Molecule: ribosomal RNA, 407 nt
Filed under: uncultured bacterium
Lineage: Bacteria
Description: partial 16S ribosomal RNA
Rfam family: Bacterial small subunit ribosomal RNA
Source: RNAcentral
AUUGAACGCUGGCGGCAGGCCUAACACAUGCAAGUCGAGCGGAGCGGCGGACGGGUGAGUAAUGCCUAGGAAUCUGCCUGGUAGUGGGGGAUAACGUCCGGAAACGGGCGCUAAUACCGCAUACUAUCAGAUGAGCCUAGGUCGGAGUAGCUAGUUGGUGGGGUAAAGGCUUACCAAGGCGACGAUCCGUAACUGGUCUGAGAGGAUGAUCAGUCACACUGGGACGGAGACACGGUCCAGACGCCUACGGGAGGCAGCAGUGGGGAAUAUUGGACAAUGGGCGAAAGCCUGACCCAGCCAUGCCGCGUGUUGGAAGAAGGUCUUCGGAUUGUAAAGCUCUUUAAGUUGGGAGGCGGUACCUACAGAAUAAGCACCGGCUAACUACGUGCCAGCAGCCGCGGUAAUUC